UGAGGAAUAUUGGUCAAUGGGCGAGAGCCUGAACCAGCCAUCCCGCGUGAAGGAAGAAGGCGCUAUGCGUUGUAAACUUCUUUUUCAGGGGGAUAAAAUAUUGUAUGUAUACGAUACUGAAGGUACCCUGAGAAUAAUCAUCUGCUAACUCCGUGCCAGCAGCCGCGGUAAUACGGAGGAUGCGAGCGUUAUCCGGAUUUAUUGGGUUUAAAGGGUGCGUAGGCGGAAUAAUAAGUCAGUGGUGAAAACCUGCAGCUUAACUGUAGACUUGCAAUUGUUACUGUUUUUCUUGAGUAUGGUAAAGGCAGGCGGAAUGUGUAAUGUAGCGGUGAAAUGCUUAGAUAUUACAAAGAAAACCGAUAGCGAAGGCAGCUUGCUGGGCCGUUACUGACGCUGAUGAACGAAAGCGUGGGGAUCGAACAG
This 423-nucleotide ribosomal RNA is filed under the name uncultured bacterium. Its description in RNAcentral is "bacterial SSU rRNA". It matches the Rfam family "Bacterial small subunit ribosomal RNA", at positions 355 to 775 of the family's 1533-position model. The record is from RNAcentral.